CACAGAGAGAGAGAGAGGAGUGAGAGUUAGAGAGAGAGGGGGGAGGAAAAAGAGAAAGUGGGUCAGAUGGAGCAGUCAGUCCUGAGAGGAGGAAGAGGAGAGAAGAGAGAAAUGAGGAUCUCACACUGAAAUCUGGUGUACCUUGAACCCAGGGAUCCUGCUCUCUCUUACAGUGACCAGGACGACCUCAGUCACCCUGAGCCCUGCUCUCUGGGUCUCCAAACCCACAGGACAGAUUUAUUAUUUACUCGUCCGAGGCGCUUUGACAGCAGCUUCAGGAGGAACAGGUGUUUCUGCAGCUGAGGUGGAGACUGGAGUGAGGAGGGGAAUGCAGGGCAGCAGUAACCCAGAGAGCAUGCCUUCUGGCGUGGGUAGGACACCAGCCAUGCCUGGGCCUCCACUCCCAGAGCCUCCAGAGACACUCCACAGCCAGACAGACUCUUUCCUCACUGCUGCUCGGCUUGUCCGCAGAGGAUGGGUGGAGGAGGAGAAGAAAACAGGGUGGCAGAUUUCCAGUUUCAACCACUCAGCACAUCAUCCCCGUCUGACCAAGUCAGAUGGGAAUCAGGUUUCAAACCGUGCUGAGAUCUGUUUAAAGGAUCCCUGGAGCAGACGGGUUUCUGAUGCGAACAGCAGGAAGACGGCUGAAGACAGAGAGACAGACUUUGAGAAAAAGGCAGAUGAAGUAAAACAGACAGCUGAAGGCGUAUCCUCAGGUUACAGACAGGCAGAAAGACAGAAAGGCAUUGUGUUUAUCUGGACGUCUGGCUGUCGCAACAAAUGCAGGCAACCCCUGAGAUUUAAGGCCCCGAUACUGCCAGUCAUUGCUGAGAUGUAGACUAGAUUCUCAGGUGCACAUAAAGACCACAACAUGGUUAUAGCACUGGGUUCUUCUUUGCAACGAUAGUGGUACUUGAUUCUAGCCUUUAGUCAGACUGUGUUAAAUGGUGGUCCUUAAUGACAGUGUUUGUAUGGUGAAAUAUGUUGAUGCUGAUUUUGUUCUGUUCAUUAAAAUUCAAAUAUGAAGAAAUGCAA
Molecule: long non-coding RNA, 1035 nt
Organism: Lates calcarifer (barramundi perch)
Lineage: Eukaryota; Metazoa; Chordata; Actinopteri; Centropomidae
Exons: 3
Source: RefSeq, a predicted model, not a curated record